CCUACGGGGGGCUGCAGUGGGGAAUAUUGCGCAAUGGGGGAAACCCUGACGCAGCAACGCCGCGUGAAGGAUGAAGGUUUUCGGAUUGUAAACUUCUUUGACAGGGGACGAAUAAUGACGGUACCCUGAAAACAAGCCACGGCUAACUACGUGCCAGCAGCCGCGGUAAUACGUAGGUGGCGAGCGUUGUCCGGAAUUACUGGGUGUAAAGGGCGUGCAGGCGGGACUGUAAGUCAGAUGUGAAAUUCCCAAGCUCAACUUGGGCGCUGCAUCUG
RNAcentral lists this ribosomal RNA (275 nucleotides) under uncultured bacterium. RNAcentral's name for it is "partial 16S ribosomal RNA". It matches the Rfam family "Bacterial small subunit ribosomal RNA", at positions 338 to 629 of the family's 1533-position model. The record is from RNAcentral.